This 18-nucleotide microRNA is filed under the name Corchorus olitorius. RNAcentral's name for it is "hsa-miR-4711-". Lineage: Eukaryota; Viridiplantae; Streptophyta; Magnoliopsida; Malvales; Malvaceae. The record is from RNAcentral.
CGUGUCUUCGGGCUUGAA